Molecule: long non-coding RNA, 1933 nt
Organism: Cyprinus carpio carpio
Lineage: Eukaryota; Metazoa; Chordata; Actinopteri; Cypriniformes; Cyprinidae
Source: Ensembl
CUGCUGUGGGAGCUGUAGGAGGGGAAGAAGAUUUAGACGCACAUACUUUGUGUCUUUGCUGUUUCUAUUACAAAAAGGAGGUUUAUUCUGCAUCUUUCAGCAAAGAUACACACAGUGGAGAACAGGUAGUUUCUCUCUUCCUCUUUAAUUUUGCAUGGUUUCUCACAGUCACACCUUGUUACACCUUGGAGAAAAUGUCAAGGUCUCACUCGCACUCAUCCUUCCUGUACCGGUUAACUCGUCUAACAGAAUGUAACAGAACACAGAGUUUUCUUUAACACUGAGUUGGGCUGCUCUCAAAAGGGCCUCAGUAAGAGAACAAGAGAGAACCAGCAGACAUCAAACAAAAAGGCAAAGGCCCCCAGAUGGACACACUUAUUGACUGACAUUAUACAGGAUGCAGUAUUGUGAGAGAUAUUAGAUUCCUGGAGAGCUUAUGUAGUGAUCAUGCACGAAUCAUGUGAGUGGACAGCCAGUCGGAAUGCACCAUUGUUCUGGUGACUGUGCUAAAGAACUUUUAGUUUUGUUUCAUGAUGUUACCUCAGAUGUUCAUCCUUGGCCACAUCCUGCCAAACCUUCACACCCUUUUGUCAAGGAGCUCUCCCAGGCACUGAAAAAACUCAAAUUAAAGACGCUCUUUUCCAGUCACCACCCCCUGUUAGCAGACCACCCUGUUGUCACACCAGUAUGUCUCACCAUGCUGCAGCUCCUUGUCAGACCCAGCCAAAACCUAACUGUACUACAGUGCAGAACCCUGGAUGAAACCAUUGCCUUUCUCUUCCCGAACAGGGACCGAGCCAACCCACUCAGCUGCCUUUCUAUCAAGUACCGCCCCCAGAGGUUUAUCUGACACAAAGUCAGUUUGUUUCAAGAGACUUGAGCCAGUGCCACAAACUUCACACCCAGCUAAAACAUCCCAGCAUAGGGUUGAUGCUGUGUCCUACACCCACCGAUGUCAUCAUACUGGUUUCCAACAGUAGAAGGUUCCACUUACCCAGACUUCAUUAAGGAGAACAGAGUCCAGUAUGUGGAACUCAGGAUCGCUCUGGAUAAUCUGCUCCAUCCCAAAUUACCAAAGCACUACAAGUAUUCCAUCCCCCUGAAGCAUGUUGUGAAGUUGCAUUGCUGACUCUGCAUAUGCUAAGACAACUCUGUGAGCAUUAGGCAUGCCUAAUGCUCACAGAGUUGUCUUAGCAUAUGCAGAGUCAGUCACGCCUUACAUUAAUGCCCCACAAGCCCUUGACAGAAAUUAUGGUUGGCCUACCAGUUUGUGCUGGGGAAAAUUGAGGCUUUGUAGAACCUACAGUACCACACUCUAAAAACUGCUGGGUUGAAAACAACCCAAUUUGGGUCAUUUUGCAACCCAGCGCUGGGUCAAAAAGGGACGAACCCAGCGCUGGGUUAUUUUAACCCAACAAGUUGGGUUAUUAUGUUUAACCAAGCAUGCUGGGUUGCUUUUUUAUGGUUUAAAAUUACGACAUUGCUAGGCUAGGCUAAAAUGAACCCAAAUCGAGCUAGGUAUUAAACCUACAAAUCUUGUUCAUUUUAAAAUCACUUUAAUACACAAGAAUAACUAUCAAAAGGUAAAUAUUUAUUAAAAACAAGAGAAAACAGUCAAAAAGUAACACGUAAGAAGAAAUGCAGAAAAGUAUGGCAUUAACAGCUACAUAGUUUAUAAAUAAAGCAUUGAACAUUUGUUGAAUAGAACUUUUAAGAUCAAAUUUGACUUUUUUGGUAAAUUUUAUGUAUUGUAAAAAAAUAUACAAAAACACUAUUAUACAAUAAUUGUACAAUUACUUAAGUUAAGUUCUUUACAAAAUAUUCUGGCAUGACAGUACACAAACCACAACAUUAACACUGAUAUUAUAACAUUUGACAGAUGCAUGUGAGUGUGAAAGAAUGUGAGCAUGUGUAUGAAUGACAGAAUGUAAAC